UAGGGAAUCUUCGGCAAUGGACGAAAGUCUGACCGAGCAACGCCGCGUGAGUGAAGAAGGUUUUCGGAUCGUAAAACUCUGUUGUUAGAGAAGAACAAGGACGUUAGUAACUGAACGUCCCCUGACGGUAUCUAACCAGAAAGCCACGGCUAACUACGUGCCAGCAGCCGCGGUAAUACGUAGGUGGCAAGCGUUGUCCGGCUUUAUUGGGCGUAAAGCGAGCGCAGGCGGUUUCUUAAGUCUGAUGUGAAAGCCCCCGGCUCAACCGGGGAGGGUGAUUUGAAACUGGGAGACUUGAGUGCAGAAGAGGAGAGUGGAAUUCCAUGUGUAGCGGUGAAAUGCGUAGAUAUAUGGGGGAACACCAGUGGCGAAGGCGGCUCUCUGGUCUGUAACUGACGCUGAGGCUCGAAAGCGUGGGGAGCAAACAGG
Molecule: ribosomal RNA, 429 nt
Filed under: Gemmatimonadota bacterium
Lineage: Bacteria; Pseudomonadati; Gemmatimonadota
Description: Gemmatimonadetes bacterium partial 16S ribosomal RNA
Rfam family: Bacterial small subunit ribosomal RNA
Source: RNAcentral